GGACAACCUGCCCUCGGGUGGGGGAUAACCCCGGGAAACUGGGGCUAAUCCCCCAUAGGGGAUGGGUACUGGAAUGUCCCAUCUCCGAAAGCGCUUAGCGCCCGAGGAUGGGUCUGCGGCGGAUUAGGUUGUUGGUGGGGUAACGGCCCACCAAGCCGAAGAUCCGUACGGGCCAUGAGAGUGGGAGCCCGGAGAUGGACCCUGAGACACGGGUCCAGGCCCUACGGGGCGCAGCAGGCGCGAAACCUCCGCAAUGCGGGAAACCGCGACGGGGUCAGCCGGAGUGCUCGCGCAUCGCGCGGGCUGUCGGGGUGCCUAAAAAGCACCCCAUAGCAAGGGCCGGGCAAGGCCGGUGGCAGCCGCCGCGGUAAUACCGGCGGCCCGAGUGGCGGCCACUUUUAUUGGGCCUAAAGCGUCCGUAGCCGGGCUGGUAAGUCCUCCGGGAAAUCUGGUCGCUUAACGAUCAGACUGCCGGAGGAUACUGCCAGCCUAGGGACCGGGAGAGGCCGGGGGUAUUCCCGGGGUAGGGGUGAAAUCCUGUAAUCCCGGGAGGACCACCUGUGGCGAAGGCGCCCGGCUGGAACGGGUCCGACGGUGAGGGACGAAGGCCAGGGGAGCGAACCGGAUUAGAUACCCGGGUAGUCCUGGCUGUAAACGAUGCGGACUAGGUGUCACCGAAGCUACGAGCUUCGGUGGUGCCGGAGGGAAGCCGUUA
Molecule: ribosomal RNA, 715 nt
Filed under: uncultured archaeon
Lineage: Archaea
Description: bacterial SSU rRNA
Rfam family: Archaeal small subunit ribosomal RNA
Source: RNAcentral